GCUGAAGAACGUAGCGAAAUGCGAUAAGUAAUGUGAAUUGCAGAAUUCAGUGAAUCAUCGAAUCUUUGAACGCACAUUGCGCCCCCUGGUAUUCCGGGGGGCAUGCCUGUUCGAGCGUCAUUUCACCACUCAAGCCUCGCUUGGUAUUGGGCAACGCGGUCCGCCGCGUGCCUCAAAUCGACCGGCUGGGUCUUCUGUCCCCUAAGCGUUGUGGAAACUAUUCGCUAAAGGGUGUUCGGGAGGCUACGCCGUAAAACAACCCCAUUUCUAAGGUUGACCUCGGAUCAGGUAGGGAUAGCCGCUGAACUUAAGCAUAUCAAUAAGCGGAGGA
This 331-nucleotide unclassified non-coding RNA is filed under the name soil metagenome. Its description in RNAcentral is "partial contains 5.8S ribosomal RNA, internal transcribed spacer 2, and large subunit ribosomal RNA". The stretch from base 3 to 120 matches the Rfam family "5.8S ribosomal RNA", at positions 37 to 154 of the family's 154-position model. The record is from RNAcentral.